Molecule: ribosomal RNA, 502 nt
Filed under: uncultured bacterium
Lineage: Bacteria
Description: bacterial SSU rRNA
Rfam family: Bacterial small subunit ribosomal RNA
Source: RNAcentral
GAUGAACGCUGGCGGCGUGCCUCAAACAUGCAAGUCGAGCGGGGCUAUGUAAUAUCGCAAGGUAGAACAUAGCCUAGCGGCGAACGGGUGAGUAACACGUGGGUAACCUGCCUGGAAGACAGGGAUAACGAUUCGAAAGGGUCGCUAAUACCUGAUAAUAUCCUUUCAUCGCAUGGUGAUAGGAAGAAAGGGGAAACCCGCUUUCAGAUGGGCCCGCGUCCCAUCAGCUAGUUGGUAAGGUAAAGGCUUACCAAGGCGACGACGGGUAGCCGGUCUGAGAGGAUGUACGGCCACACUGGGACUGAGAUACGGCCCAGACUCCUACGGGAGGCAGCAGUUGGGAAUCUUAGGCAAUGGACGAAAGUCUGACCUAGCGACGCCGCGUGAGGGAAAAGGCCUUCGGGUUGUAAACCUCUGUCAUGGGGGAAGAAGUAAGUGACGGUACCCCAAGAGGAAGCCCCUAGCUAACUACGUGCCAAGCAGCCGCGGUAAAAGUCUCUAU